Molecule: ribosomal RNA, 1067 nt
Filed under: uncultured bacterium
Lineage: Bacteria
Description: bacterial SSU rRNA
Rfam family: Bacterial small subunit ribosomal RNA
Source: RNAcentral
AAUGAACGCUGGCGGCGUGCAUAACACAUGCAAGUCGAACGAGAAAGGGGCUUCGGCCCCGAGUAAAGUGGCGCACGGGUGAGUAACGCGUGGGUAACCUACCCUGGAAUCUGGGAUAACACUGCGAAAGCGGUGCUAAUACCGGGUACGAUCCUCGAGCGGGAGUUCGGGGAUGAGAGCCGGCCUCUUGAAAAAGCUGGUGUUCCGGGAUGGGCUCGCGUCCUAUCAGCUAGUUGGUGGGGUAAUGGCCUACCAAGGCGUCGACGGGUAGCUGGUCUGAGAGGAUGAUCAGCCACACUGGCACUGGAACACGGGCCAGACUCCUACGGGAGGCAGCAGUGAGGAAUUUUGCGCAAUGGGGGAAACCCUGACGCAGCAACGCCGCGUGGGUGAAGAAGGCCUUCGGGUCGUAAAGCCCUGUCAGGUGGGAAGAACGGUCUUUGAGCGAACAGUUCGGGGAUUUGACGGUACCACCAGAGGAAGCACCGGCUAACUCCGUGCCAGCAGCCGCGGUAAUACGGAGGGUGCGAGCGUUGUUCGGAAUCAUUGGGCGUAAAGGGCGUGUAGGCGGCUGGGUAAGUCUGAUGUGAAAGCCCGGGGCUCAACCCUGGAAGUGCAUUGGAGACUGCUCGGCUUGAGUACUGGAGAGGAUGGGGGAAUUCCCGGUGUAGAGGUGAAAUUCGUAGAGAUCGGGAGGAAUACCAGUGGCGAAGGCGCCCAUCUGGACGGAUACUGACGCUGAGACGCGAAAGCGUGGGGAGCAAACAGGAUUAGAUACCCUGGUAGUCCACGCUGUAAACGAUGAGCGCUAGGUGUAGCGGGUAUUGACCCCUGCUGUGCCGCAGCUAACGCAUUAAGUGCUCCGCCUGGGGAUUACGGUCGCAAGACUAAAACUCAAAGGAAUUGACGGGGGCCCGCACAAGCGGUGGAGCAUGUGGUUUAAUUCGACGCAACGCGAAGAACCUUACCUGGGCUUGACAUCCCCGGCCCGCCCUGGAAACAGGGUUUUCCCCUUCGGGGGACCGGGUGACAGGUGCUGCAUGGCUGUCGUCAGCUCGUGUCGUGAG